This 466-nucleotide ribosomal RNA is filed under the name uncultured bacterium. RNAcentral describes it as "bacterial SSU rRNA". It matches the Rfam family "Bacterial small subunit ribosomal RNA", at positions 28 to 492 of the family's 1533-position model. The record is from RNAcentral.
GAUGAACGCUGGCGGCGUGCUUAACACAUGCAAGUCGAACGAAGCACUUUAUUUGAUUUCCUUCGGGACUGAUUAUUUUGUGACUGAGUGGCGGACGGGUGAGUAACGCGUGGGUAACCUGCCUUGUACAGGGGGAUAACAGUUGGAAACGGCUGCUAAUACCGCAUAAGCGCACGGCAUCGCAUGAUGCAGUGUGAAAAACUCCGGUGGUAUAAGAUGGACCCGCGUUGGAUUAGCUAGUUGGUGGGGUAACGGCCCACCAAGGCGACGAUCCGUAGCCGACCUGAGAGGGUGACCGGCCACAUUGGGACUGAGACACGGCCCAAACUCCUACGGGAGGCAGCAGUGGGGAAUAUUGCACAAUGGGCGAAAGCCUGAUGCAGCGACGCCGCGUGAGCGAAGAAGUAUUUCGGUAUGUAAAGCUCUAUCACCAGGGAAGAUAAUGACGGUACCUGACUAAGAAGCA